RNAcentral lists this ribosomal RNA (492 nucleotides) under uncultured bacterium. RNAcentral's name for it is "partial 16S ribosomal RNA". It matches the Rfam family "Bacterial small subunit ribosomal RNA", at positions 29 to 507 of the family's 1533-position model. The record is from RNAcentral.
AGUGAACGCUGGCGGUAGGCCUAACACAUGCAAGUCGAACGGCAGCACAGUAAGAGCUUGCUCUUACGGGUGGCGAGUGGCGGACGGGUGAGGAAUACAUCGGAAUCUACUUUUUCGUGGGGGAUAACGUAGGGAAACUUACGCUAAUACCGCAUACGACCUACGGGUGAAAGCAGGGGAUCUUCGGACCUUGCGCGAUUGAAGGAGCCGAUGUCGGAUUAGCUAGUUGGCGGGGUAAAGGCCCACCAAGGCGACGAUCCGUAGCUGGUCUGAGAGGAUGAUCAGCCACACUGGAACUGAGACACGGUCCAGACUCCUACGGGAGGCAGCAGUGGGGAAUAUUGGACAAUGGGCGCAAGCCUGAUCCAGCCAUACCGCGUGGGUAAAGAAGGCCUUCGGGUUGUAAAGCCCUUUUGUUGGGAAAGAAAAGCAGCAGGUUAAUACCCCGCUGUUCUGACGGUACCCAAAGAAUAAGCACCGGCUAACUUCGUG